AGCAGUAGCCGCGGUAAUACGUAGGUGGCAAGCGUUGUCCGGAAUUAUUGGGCGUAAAGCGCGCGCAGGCGGAUAGGUCAGUCUGUCUUAAAAGUUCGGGGCUUAGCCCCGUGAUGGGAUGGAAACUGCCAAUCUAGAGUAUCGGAGAGGAAAGUGGAAUUCCUAGUGUAGCGGUGAAAUGCGUAGAUAUUAGGAAGAACACCAGUGGCGAAGGCGACUUUCUGGACGAAAACUGACGCUGAGGCGCGAAAGCCAGGGGAGCGAACGGGAUUAGAUACCCCGUAGUCCCUGUCUCUUAUACAC
This 303-nucleotide ribosomal RNA is filed under the name uncultured bacterium. RNAcentral's name for it is "partial 16S ribosomal RNA". It matches the Rfam family "Bacterial small subunit ribosomal RNA", at positions 507 to 810 of the family's 1533-position model. The record is from RNAcentral.